UAAAGUUGUUGCAGUUAAAAAGCUCGUAGUUGAAUUUCGGGGUUAGCAGGUCGGUCGUGCCAAUGGCAUGCACUGGCUCGCUGACUCCUCCUUCUUGUAGAACCGUAAUGCCAUUAAUUUGGUGUUGCGGGGAAACAGGACUGUUACUUUGAAAAAAUUAGAGUGUUUAAAGCAGGCUAGCGCCUGAAUACAUUAGCAUGGAAUAAUGAAAUAGGACGUUCGAACCUAUUUUGUUGGUUUCUAGGAUUGACGUAAUGAUUAAUAGGG
This 267-nucleotide ribosomal RNA is filed under the name uncultured Glomus. RNAcentral describes it as "partial small subunit ribosomal RNA". It matches the Rfam family "Eukaryotic small subunit ribosomal RNA", at positions 605 to 877 of the family's 1831-position model. Lineage: Eukaryota; Fungi; Glomeromycota; Glomeromycetes; Glomerales; Glomeraceae. The record is from RNAcentral.